This 571-nucleotide small RNA is filed under the name Histoplasma capsulatum. RNAcentral describes it as "hypothetical RNA". RNAcentral also lists the same sequence under 1 other name. The record is from RNAcentral. Lineage: Eukaryota; Fungi; Ascomycota; Eurotiomycetes; Onygenales; Ajellomycetaceae.
AGCCCCAGGCUCCAAUUCUAUCCAGCUACUGGUAGGUCCAGGUCCACGACCAGGGGGCUAUUGAACUUCUUACCACCCCGGUGCGGCCAGCUCGUUGCCAUAAUCGCGGCGUUGACAAUACACGUCUCGUUCCUUCCCGGUAUAGUCCCGGCACCUUUUGCCACUUGCGAUUCAUCAUUUGCCCGCAGCGUCGGAGAUGACGAUCCCAAAGGACCAUCAUUUCGAAGACGAGGCUGUGUUUUCCCCGUGAGAUCGAUCAGGCAUUGCUUUUUGCUGUUGAGUGGAGGUAGUUCUCCGCGAACCGAACUCAGCUCUUUGAAUCUUUCACCACUCUGGACGCUUGACGCAGAUGCUCGCAACCGAGCGAGCCGUGUCUAUUCUCAUCGCAGUGGGACCGCGGCGGGGUGUGAGUCAAAACGAUAUCGGUAUCUAGCGGUAUCUUAUCCCAGAUGCCACAAGCUUCUUCGGAAGUGUAACUAAACGCCCAUUUCCCGCAGUAAGGGGUGUACGGAGAUCCAAAUAUUUUGAAUAUUGAUUGAGGGCCACCCGGAUUAGAUAGUCGGAUAACGGC